UACGAAGGGGGCUAGCGUUGCUCGGAAUUACUGGGCGUAAAGGGCGCGUAGACGGCUGGCCUAGUCAGGCGUGAAAUCCCAGGGCUCAACCUUGGGGCUGCGCUUGAUACGGGCCGGCUCGAGUGCGGGAGAGGGCCGCGGAAUUCCCAGUGUAGAGGUGAAAUUCGUAGAUAUUGGGAAGAACACCGGUGGCGAAGGCGGCGGCCUGGCCCGCGACUGACGUUGAGGCGCGACAGCGUGGGGAGCAAAC
Molecule: ribosomal RNA, 250 nt
Filed under: uncultured bacterium
Lineage: Bacteria
Description: partial 16S ribosomal RNA
Rfam family: Bacterial small subunit ribosomal RNA
Source: RNAcentral